GUCCCCAUCGAUUAACUGGAUAAAUCACUGGCCUCCUAAGCCGGCGCUCCUGGUUCGAGUCCAGGUGGGGAUG
Molecule: transfer RNA, 73 nt
Filed under: Thalassotalea sp. ND16A
Lineage: Bacteria; Pseudomonadati; Pseudomonadota; Gammaproteobacteria; Alteromonadales; Colwelliaceae
Rfam family: tRNA
About the family: Transfer RNA (tRNA) molecules are approximately 80 nucleotides in length.
Source: Rfam by way of RNAcentral